GCUCGUAGUUGGAUUUCUGUGGGGACGGAGCGGCCGGCCGCAACUUGCGGUUCGAGCUAGCGCUUUCCCUACAUCCUGCCGCGAACCGUGCUACCAUUAGUUUGGUGGCGCCGGGGAUCGGCUCGUUUACUUUGAGGAAAAUAGAGUGUUCAAAGCAGGCCACACGCCUUGAAUAAGUUAGCAUGGAAUAAUAAUAAAGGACUUCGGUUCUAUUUUGUUGGUGUUCGGGACUGAAGUAAUGAUUGAUAGGGACAGUUGGGGCGGUCAGUAUUCCAAAGCGAGAGGUGAAAUUCUUAGACCUUCGGAAGACUAACAGCUGCGAAAGCGUUCCGCAAGGAUGUUCCCUUUGAUCAAGAACGAAAGUUGGGGGAUCGAAGACGAUCAGAUACCGUCGUAGUCUCAACUAUAAACUAUACCAGCUAGGGAUCGGCCAACGUUAAAUUAUUCGACUUGGUCGGCACCUUAUGAGAAAUCAAAGCAUCUGGGUUCCGGGGGGAGUAUGGUCGCAAGGCUGAAACUUAAAGGAAUUGACGGAAGGGCACCACCAGCCGUGGAGCCUGUGGCUUAAUUUGACUCAACACGGGAAAACUUACCAGGUCCAGACAUAGUAAGGAUUGACAGAUUGAUAGCUCUUUCUUGAUUCUGUGGGUGGUGGUGCAUGGCCGUUCUUAGUUGGUGGAGUGAUUUGUCUGGUUAAUUCCGUUAACGAACGAGACCCCAGCCUGCUAAAUAGCGUGGUUGAGCUUUGCUCGGCGCAAGCUUCUUAGAGGGACUAUGAUGCGCGAUAGCACAUGGAAGUUUGGGGCAAUAACAGGUCUGUGAUGCCCUUAGAUGUUCUGGGCCGCACACGGGCUACACUGGCGCCUGCAACGAGCAUAUCAGCUGGCCCGAGAGGGUCUUGGCUAAUCUUUUGAACCGGCGCCGUGCUUGGGAUUGACCAUUGCAAUUGUUGGUCAUGCAACGAGGGAAUGCCUUGUAAACGCGAGUCAUCAACUCGCAUUGAAUACGUCCCUGCCCUUUGUACACACCGCCCGUCGCUCUACCGAUGAUGUUCCGAUGAAAUUUCGAAAGCGCUUGUGAGUGG
RNAcentral lists this ribosomal RNA (1084 nucleotides) under uncultured eukaryote. RNAcentral describes it as "bacterial SSU rRNA". It matches the Rfam family "Eukaryotic small subunit ribosomal RNA", at positions 626 to 1728 of the family's 1831-position model. The record is from RNAcentral.